Molecule: ribosomal RNA, 522 nt
Filed under: Bifidobacterium longum subsp. suillum
Lineage: Bacteria; Bacillati; Actinomycetota; Actinomycetes; Bifidobacteriales; Bifidobacteriaceae
Description: bacterial SSU rRNA
Rfam family: Bacterial small subunit ribosomal RNA
Source: RNAcentral
GAAACGGGUGGUAAUGCCGGAUGCUCCAGUUGAUCGCAUGGUCUUCUGGGAAAGCUUUCGCGGUAUGGGAUGGGGUCGCGUCCUAUCAGCUUGACGGCGGGGUAACGGCCCACCGUGGCUUCGACGGGUAGCCGGCCUGAGAGGGCGACCGGCCACAUUGGGACUGAGAUACGGCCCAGACUCCUACGGGAGGCAGCAGUGGGGAAUAUUGCACAAUGGGCGCAAGCCUGAUGCAGCGACGCCGCGUGAGGGAUGGAGGCCUUCGGGUUGUAAACCUCUUUUAUCGGGGAGCAAGCGAGAGUGAGUUUACCCGUUGAAUAAGCACCGGCUAACUACGUGCCAGCAGCCGCGGUAAUACGUAGGGUGCAAGCGUUAUCCGGAAUUAUUGGGCGUAAAGGGCUCGUAGGCGGUUCGUCGCGUCCGGUGUGAAAGUCCAUCGCUUAACGGUGGAUCCGCGCCGGGUACGGGCGGGCUUGAGUGCGGUAGGGGAGACUGGAAUUCCCGGUGUAACGGUGGAAUGUG